This 484-nucleotide ribosomal RNA is filed under the name uncultured bacterium. Its description in RNAcentral is "partial 16S ribosomal RNA". It matches the Rfam family "Bacterial small subunit ribosomal RNA", at positions 28 to 523 of the family's 1533-position model. The record is from RNAcentral.
GAUGAACGCUGGCGGCGUGCCUAAUACAUGCAAGUCGAGCGAACCACUUCGGUGGAGAGCGGCGAACGGGUGAGUAACACGUAGGUCAUCUACCCAUUAGACGGGGAUAACGUUUGGAAACGAACGCUAAUACCGGAUAGGAUGCAAAUUUAAAGGUGCUUUCGGGCACCGCUAAUGGAUGAGCCUGCGGCGCAUUAGCUAGUUGGUAAGGUAAGAGCUUACCAAGGCGACGAUGCGUAGCCGACCUGAGAGGGUGAACGGCCACACUGGGACUGAGACACGGCCCAGACUCCUACGGGAGGCAGCAGUAGGGAAUCUUCGGCAAUGGACGAAAGUCUGACCGAGCAACGCCGCGUGAAUGAAGAAGGCUUUCGGGUCGUAAAAUUCUGUUAUAAGGGGAGAAAGGUUAGAGUAGGAAAUGGCUCUAAAGUGACGGUACCUUAUGAGAAAGCCACGGCUAACUACGUGCCAGCCGCCGCAGUAA